AUUGAACGCUGGCGGCAGGCUUAACACAUGCAAGUCGAGCGGGGGGAGGUAGCUUGCUACCGGACCUAGCGGCGGACGGGUGAGUAAUGCUCAGGAAUCUGCCUAUUAGUGGGGGACAACAUCUCGAAAGGGAUGCUAAUACCGCAUACGUCCUACGGGAGAAAGCAGGGGAUCUUCGGACCUUGCGCUAAUAGAUGAGCCUAAGUCGGAUUAGCUAGUUGGUGGGGUAAAGGCCUACCAAGGCGACGAUCUGUAGCGGGUCUGAGAGGAUGCUCCGCCACACUGGGACGGCGACACGGCGCAGACUCUGACGGGAGGCAGCAGUGGGGAAUAUUGGACAAUGGGGGGAACCCUGAUCCAGCCAUGCCGCGUGUGUGAAGAAGGCCUUAUGGUUGUAAAGCACUUUAAGCGAGGAGGAGGCUACUUUAGUUAAUACCUAGAGAUAGUGGACGUUACUCGCAGAAUAAGCACCGGCUAACUCUGUGCCAGCAGCCGCCGCCG
RNAcentral lists this ribosomal RNA (501 nucleotides) under uncultured bacterium. RNAcentral's name for it is "partial 16S ribosomal RNA". It matches the Rfam family "Bacterial small subunit ribosomal RNA", at positions 30 to 523 of the family's 1533-position model. The record is from RNAcentral.